GAUGAACGCUGGCGGCGUGCCUAAUACAUGCAAGUCGAGCGAACAGAUAAGGAGCUUGCUCCUUUGACGUUAGCGGCGGACGGGUGAGUAACACGUGGGUAACCUACCUAUAAGACUGGAAUAACUACGGGAAACCGGGGCUAAUGCCGGAUAACAUUUAGAACCGCAUGGUUCUAAAGUGAAAGAUGGUUUUGCUAUCACUUAUAGAUGGACACGCGCAGUAUUAGCGAGUUGGUAAGGUAAAGGAUUACCAAGGCAACGAUACGUAGCCGACCUGAGAGGGUGGUCGGCCACCCUGUAAGAGAGGAACAGUCCAGACUCCUACGGUGAGCCGCAGUAGGGAAUCUUCCGCGAUGGGCGAGAGCCGGACGGAGCAACGCCGGGUAAGUGAUGAAGGUCUUCUGAUCGUAAAACUCUGUUAUUAGGGAAGAACAAAUGUGUAAGUAACUGUGCACAUCUUGACGGUACCUAAUCAGAAAGCCACGGCUAACUACGUG
This 497-nucleotide ribosomal RNA is filed under the name uncultured bacterium. RNAcentral's name for it is "partial 16S ribosomal RNA". It matches the Rfam family "Bacterial small subunit ribosomal RNA", at positions 28 to 507 of the family's 1533-position model. The record is from RNAcentral.